RNAcentral lists this long non-coding RNA (1770 nucleotides) under Musa acuminata (dwarf banana). Its description in RNAcentral is "long non-coding RNA (MACU_LNC002606)". Lineage: Eukaryota; Viridiplantae; Streptophyta; Magnoliopsida; Zingiberales; Musaceae. The record is from RNAcentral.
GCGACAACAUAGUGCAUCGAUAAGAUUCUCAAAGCAUUAUUAGCUCACAAACGACUCCAUCCGUGUUCUUCGGUUGACUGAGAACAUGCAAGGUAAUUGAAAGAACACGGCACUAGAAUCAAGAACACUGCAUUCCAUAGUAAGAAUGAUGCUUGGUUAGAUGUGAGCUUAAAGGUCCAGCACCAUCGCUACAGUCACGUUCACCUUUCUAAAGGAGCUAGAGCUGAACCAUGAACAUGGUCUUCCCCUGCCUCAAUUCUCAACUCUAUCGUUCCUUUCUACUUCCCUUCCCGGACCUCCCACCAGAUUCUUAUUCCUAUCUAUUUCUUUCGAAUUUGGUUUCCCAGCAAUUUCAGAUGCUGCAGGUUUUCCCCAACAACAAGGAAUGAGACAAUCAUAAAAAAUUGAAGAAAAACAAACAGUCAAAAACUCAAUCUUUCAAGUCAAAGCAACAUUACUAACAGUGGUAGAACUCUCUCUAUCCCUCACAAAGAAGAAAGAACAAGAAGAAGAGAUCCACGACCUAUCAAUCACAAGCAACCCAAUAGAAAAGAACACCAAAGGAGAGCUUUUUGUUGACGCAUGUGCAACAUGGGGAUGGCAGCAGUGAGCAGCGAGAGAGCGUGAGCGAAAACCCUACCCCCGAGAAGCCAGAGAGGAAGGGCGAAAUCAGCGGGCGGCCAAGGGAACGGGGGCGCGGACCCGCAGGGCGUGGGCCGGCGGGGGGAGGGGCGGCGGCGGGGAGGCGAAGGGGAGACGCCGCAGGAUGAGGAAACGGAUGCGCCAGGGUAAGAGGGCGACGUGGAGCAACUGCUCCAGCACCCGCGCCACCAGCGCCGUGUACUCCUCCAGCAGCUCCACCCCGAUGGCGACGAGUAUCAUUUCUUCUCUUCUCCAAUACACCAAGUCCUCGUUCUCCUCAAACAAAUAUCUAGGUUCCGUUCGGAUCCGAUCGCGCGAUAUCCGGCGAUAAACCUUUUACCGCUUCCUUUCUUGCUCAAGAUUUGACAGCACAGGUGACGGAAAGCUUCGGACUUAUUUCAGUGAUCGGUUGGUAACUCCUCGCUAUAUAUAUGUCAGGAUUUAUAUAGAUAAGACAAAGAUCAAUCGAUGUGAAGGGGUAUACAUUUCUGAAGCAGCGGGAAACGUCUUCCUAUGUGCUACCGCUGCUGGGAUCGAAACUUGGACAACUAUGUGAGCGAGUCGACGGUAUCGGUUUGAAGGACCAAACCGCAUAAACUGAAGACACAACGCGAUCGUUUUAGCCUCUUUUCGAAGGCGCCGCCCCCUUCGAUCUUAUCCGUUUCCAAAACCAGAUGUCGUCACCACCUUGCACGAGAGGCAGCCUGCCCUUCUAUUAAUUACGAACUAUGGAACUUUCCGGAGGUUCUCAUUCGGUCAGGGUAGGCCCCGCAUUUCUCUCCAAUUGUAAGACCGGUAAUCUGCUGGGGUAAACUAAUACGAUAGGAAGAGCACAGGUCCUGUUUCCCGGUUUCAACGUUGGCUUAGGCUGACGCAGGGUGAGGCUUAGGUGGGAGCGGGCGACUUCGGGUAUUGAGAUAGUGGCUUUAUUGUUCCGGAUAUAAUAAUUAUUAUUAUUAUUAUUUUCACUAUUGUUUGGACGGAUGGCUGUGAUGUAGUGGCGGGAAGGAGUUAGUAAGAUGGGAUGAUGAUCAUGAUGAAACUAUACAAAAUUAAUCUAGUGAUUCUGGCCGCUACAAAUCAGGGGUAGCCCCAUGUAUGGCUCGCCAUUGUUUUGUUUGACUUAAU